CCUGCGAGCUUCUAUUGGCUGAUAAGGGACAUGUGACCAAGCUGGUAUUGGCUAAUGCAGGUCAUAUUUUGGGAAUAUAUCAGGAACGGUAAAUCAUAGAGAGCUGAGACCCGGUCUACAACCUUCCAGGACACCUGAUGUAACUGUGUGCCAAAUUUGGUGAAGAUUGGUC
Bufo bufo (common toad) is the source of this 172-nucleotide long non-coding RNA. RefSeq lists it as uncharacterized. The transcript is spliced from 3 exons. The record is from RefSeq and is a predicted model, not a curated record. NCBI's taxonomy places the organism in Eukaryota, Metazoa, Chordata, Amphibia, Anura, Bufonidae.